RNAcentral lists this ribosomal RNA (863 nucleotides) under uncultured marine group I thaumarchaeote. RNAcentral's name for it is "SSU rRNA". It matches the Rfam family "Archaeal small subunit ribosomal RNA", at positions 29 to 901 of the family's 1478-position model. Lineage: Archaea; Thermoproteati; Nitrososphaerota. The record is from RNAcentral.
GCUAUCGGAUUGAUACUAAGCCAUGCGAGUCAUUGUAGCAAUACAAGGCAGACGGCUCAGUAACGCGUAGUCAACCUACCCUAUGGACGGGAAUAACCUCGGGAAACUGAGUAUAAUGCCCGAUAGAACAUUAUGCCUGGAAUGGUUUAUGUUCCAAAUGAUUUAUCGCCGUAGGAUGGGACUGCGGCCUAUCAGUUUGUUGGUGAGGUAAUGGCCCACCAAGACUAUUACAGGUACGGGCUCUGAGAGGAGUAGCCCGGAGAUGGGUACUGAGACACGGACCCAGGCCCUAUGGGGCGCAGCAGGCGAGAAAACUUUGUAAUGUGCGAAAGCACGACAAGGUUAAUCCGAGUGGUUUCUGCUAAAGGAACCUUUUGUUAGUCCUAAAAACACUAACGAAUAAGGGGUGGGCAAGUUCUGGUGUCAGCCGCCGCGGUAAAACCAGCACCUCAAGUGGUCAGGAUGAUUAUUGGGCCUAAAGCAUCCGUAGCCUGCUCUGUAAGUUUUCGGUUAAAUCUGUAUGCUCAACAUACAGGCCGCCGGGAAUACUGCAGGGCUAGGGAGUGGGAGAGGUAGACGGUACUCGGGAGGAAGUGGUAAAAUGCUUUGAUCUCUCGAUGACCACCUGUGGCGAAGGCGGUCUACCAGAACACGUCCGACGGUGAGGGAUGAAAGCUGGGGGAGCAAACCGGAUUAGAUACCCGGGUAGUCCCAGUCGUAAACUAUGCAAACUCAGUGAUGCAUUGGCUUGUGGCCAAUGCAGUGUUGCAGGGAAGCCGUUAAGUUUGCCGCCUGGGAAGUACGUACGCAAGUAUGAAACUUAAAGGAAUUGGCGGGGAGCACCACAAGGGUGAAGCUGCGGU